Molecule: non-coding RNA, 1205 nt
Organism: Lepisosteus oculatus (spotted gar)
Lineage: Eukaryota; Metazoa; Chordata; Actinopteri; Semionotiformes; Lepisosteidae
Source: RefSeq, a predicted model, not a curated record
UAUUUUGUUAUAUAAUGUGAAUCACACCGUUUAGAAAAUAAGAUUAUGGGGUUAAUAUUGGUUCUUAAUCACUGUAUCUAGAGCAACACUUUUCUGUUUUUUAAAAUCAGCGUCCUACUACCCUAGUUCAAACACCACACUGUGCACAGUUGGGGGGCAUCAAAGAACUCAGGUCCACAGAAUUUGAAAAGAAAAGCUGCAUCUUCUGUGCAUUUUGGUUCACAAAUAUCACGGAGACAAGAAACAGAACUCUCCAGAAUUCCUGAAAGGAAGACGGGUCUGAAUUGUGCUUUUAUUUCUGAAAACACAACCAGAGGACAUCCACAAUUUCUCUUCUUAAGGACUCGAACAAAAGAAGAUUUUUGGCAACAAAGGAAAUGGGCUCAGAUUAAAAAAUGUGCUCGGGUUACUGCUUUCUUCUAAGACAGCCGAUAAAAACUUCCCUAAAUGGGUAUGGUGAAGGAUGACAUGGGAUAUUCAUGUACACAAAAACAGCUAAAAACCCGAGACCCCAUCAGAGAGCUUUCACUUUCAUCACCUACGUUUUAUCAACAGUGACCCGUUUCUGAUAUUGACAGCCAGAACUGCCUCAUGCAACUUUGGACCAAUGUUGAACCCGAGCCAACUGAGAGUAUUGAUGAACAUUGCAAUCCUGAAACUGGUGCAAGCAGCAAUCUUUGGUCCUGCAUCCAGUCCAAGAGAGCACAUUUCUGCAGGCCGGCCAGUGUAGGCAUGAUUCCACGUUCUGGUAUUGGACUCGCAGAAAACAGACUACACUAACGCAUCCAGCAGCCUUGAAGAGGCUUGAAGACCUAACAGAUGAAAUGGCACAUCCUUCAGCUGUUUAAAGAAAAUUAUUUAAUCCUCGAUAAAGGCCACAGGACUUGAAGAUCUCAUUAAGAGGAGCCACGAAAACACAAUGAUCGGUUUCAGACAUCUGUUAAAAAGUAUCAGCAGAAUGAUACCCACCCUGAACACAUGCGAUGGAAGCAACACACACAGUCAAGCUGCAGUUUCCCAACCCCUGCAGACUGCAGCACGAUGCAGCACCACAUCACGCAAGGAAGAGCGGAUCUUCAGCCUGGAACAAAGAGAGUGCUGCUCGUUCUUGUUGUGGAAAUAUUCCACAUAUAAUAAUAAUUGUACAAUUUUACAUCUGCUCUUGGUAGUUUCACCACUAAAAAAAAAAAGAUUCCCUUUUCAUA